Small nuclear RNA from Fukomys damarensis (Damara mole-rat), 109 nucleotides. NCBI's taxonomy places the organism in Eukaryota, Metazoa, Chordata, Mammalia, Rodentia, Bathyergidae. The record is from Ensembl.
GUGCUCACUUCAGCAGCAUAUAUGUACUAAAUUAGGCACAAUACAGCGAAGGUUAGCAUGGCCCCUGCACAAGGAUGACAGGCAAAUGCGUAAAGCAUUCCACAUUUUC